CGGGGAGUAGCUCAGACUGGUCAGAGCGCUUGCUUCGGGAGCAAGAGGUCGGGCGUUCAAAUCGCCUCUCCCCGA
RNAcentral lists this transfer RNA (75 nucleotides) under bacterium. RNAcentral's name for it is "tRNA-Pro". It matches the Rfam family "tRNA". From Rfam's summary of the family: Transfer RNA (tRNA) molecules are approximately 80 nucleotides in length. Their secondary structure includes four short double-helical elements and three loops (D, anti-codon, and T loops). The record is from RNAcentral. RNAcentral also lists the same sequence under 2 other names.